GAUGAAGAACGCAGCGAAAUGCGAUAAGUAAUGUGAAUUGCAGAAUUCAGUGAAUCAUCGAAUCUUUGAACGCACAUUGCGCCCGCCAGUAUUCUGGCGAGCAUGCCUGUUCGAGCGUCAUUUCAACCAUCAAGCCCCAGGCUUGUGUUGGAGCCCUGCGGCUGCCGCAGCCUCCCAAAACCAGUGGCGGGCUCGCUAUCACACCGAGUGCAGUAGUUUACUCUUCGCUCAGGGCGUGUGGCGGGUGCUAGCCGUGAAACCCCCAACUUCUCAAGGUUGACCUCGGAUCAGGUAGGAGUACCCGCUGAACUUAAGCAUAUCAAUAAGCGGAGGA
RNAcentral lists this unclassified non-coding RNA (334 nucleotides) under soil metagenome. RNAcentral's name for it is "partial contains 5.8S ribosomal RNA, internal transcribed spacer 2, and large subunit ribosomal RNA". The stretch from base 1 to 120 matches the Rfam family "5.8S ribosomal RNA", at positions 35 to 154 of the family's 154-position model. The record is from RNAcentral.